Molecule: long non-coding RNA, 469 nt
Organism: Priapulus caudatus
Lineage: Eukaryota; Metazoa; Priapulida; Priapulimorpha; Priapulimorphida; Priapulidae
Exons: 3
Source: RefSeq, a predicted model, not a curated record
AAUAUAUAGAUCUUAUUUCUAUGAUCUAGAGCCUUGUAAAAGUUGGGAGAACCGGACGAUUAGAGUAAAAAUAGAAACUAUGAUCUUCCUAACUGCUAGUAUGACGUAAAUUUUGCUCGCCGCAGCGAAGCGUGACAGAGAGAGUUUCGAUGGACCCACACCUUGUAGUCCGUAGUGGCAGCUUAGGCCGCUUGAUCCAAUAUCUAACAUAAUUAGCGUCGAGCACCUAGGGUACCGGAUCUCGCGUGUAAAAUCGUGUAACAUUGGAUUUUAUAGGGAGGGUGAUGAUAUAUAAGGUACGCGCGUCAAGCUGUAUAGCAAGCAGUACACGUUCACUACCACGGUGCCGAGCUACAGAUACCUUCCUCUGCGACAGACAUCAUAAGCGUUCUUAUUUCCCACAACGAAAUGAAGAGAGUGAUCUUGGCGAUACUACUGAUCGUUUCCCUGGUGGCGUCCACGCAAGCGG